GAUGGGAGUUCCUGAAUACAUUGUUCUCCGUUUCAGAAGCUGUGGCUUACAUGCAGAUGGUUGACCGAUUGGAUGAAGGAGCUAUAGCAGCAGAACUUGGUCCGCUUGAUUAUAAAGGACUUUACAAGGCUGUUGGGAAGGCUCUGUUUCGGGCACAUGUAGAAGGCCAGCUUAAGAGUGAGAUAAUGUCAAAGCCUGAAUUGUUUGUGGAACCAGACCCAGAAUUGCCUUUAGCACUUUUAGAUCAAAAGGAGGCUGGUAAAAAGCUUCUGCUUAUUACAAACUCUGAUUAUCAUUACACAGACAAAAUGAUGAAGCAUUCCUUUAACAGAUUCCUCCCAAAUGAUAUGGACUGGCG
RNAcentral lists this unclassified non-coding RNA (358 nucleotides) under Hevea brasiliensis (rubber tree). The record is from RNAcentral. Lineage: Eukaryota; Viridiplantae; Streptophyta; Magnoliopsida; Malpighiales; Euphorbiaceae.